RNAcentral lists this ribosomal RNA (403 nucleotides) under bacterium. Its description in RNAcentral is "partial 16S ribosomal RNA". It matches the Rfam family "Bacterial small subunit ribosomal RNA", at positions 355 to 776 of the family's 1533-position model. The record is from RNAcentral.
UGGGGAAUAUUGCACAAUGGGGGAAACCCUGAUGCAGCGACGCCGCGUGAACGAAGAAGGUAUUCGUAUCGUAAAGUUCUGUCCUAUGGGAAGAUAAUGACAGUACCAUAGAAGAAAGCUCCGGCUAAAUACGUGCCAGCAGCCGCGGUAAUACGUAUGGAGCGAGCGUUGUCCGGAAUUAUUGGGCGUAAAGGGUACGCAGGCGGUUUAAUAAGUCGAAUGUUAAAGAUCGGGGCUCAACCCCGCAAAGCAUUGGAAACUGAUAAACUUGAGUAGUGGAGAGGAAAGUGGAAUUCCUAGUGUAGUGGUGAAAUACGUAGAUAUUAGGAGGAAUACCAGUAGCGAAGGCGACUUUCUGGACACAAACUGACGCUGAGGUACGAAAGCGUGGGGAGAAAACAGG